Long non-coding RNA from Apis cerana (Asiatic honeybee), 230 nucleotides. RefSeq lists it as uncharacterized. The record is from RefSeq and is a predicted model, not a curated record. NCBI's taxonomy places the organism in Eukaryota, Metazoa, Arthropoda, Insecta, Hymenoptera, Apidae.
AUUUUCUUACCUUUUGGUGAGUUGAUGUAUUCCAGUAAUUGAGAAACCAUAGGUAAACUAAUCAUAUGGAUUCCAGCAUUAUGAGAACAAAAAUACCUACGAAUAAAUUUUGUUCAAUAAUAGAAUAUUUGUGUUUAAAAUUAUUUUUUCGAUAUUCAAUAUUAAAUGAUAAAUGUUCGAUACAUUUUAUUUGAUAAACGACAAUUAUUAAUAAAUUUUACAACAAGAAA